This 3016-nucleotide unclassified non-coding RNA is filed under the name Drosophila mojavensis. Its description in RNAcentral is "GI23286". The record is from RNAcentral. Lineage: Eukaryota; Metazoa; Arthropoda; Insecta; Diptera; Drosophilidae.
UGUGCUGCAAUAGGCAAAUCUAGUACAAACGCGGAGAAUUUGUCCGAGAAUGUCAAUGGGGAGAACGGCUGGUAUAUGCCUAACGAAGAUGGCACCCUUCAGUGGAUAGACGAGAAAAAAGCGGAGGCAAUGCUUCAACCCCUUACGGAACAGAAAAACCUAGCGGCAAUUGCAAAGCUCGUGAAAUACUAUUUAUUAUCCAAGUACCAAAAAACCCGAAGAAACUCAGUCCAUAGAACCUAUUGAAAACUCCACGUGGGCAAUCAGCUGACAAAUAUAUACGCUUAUAUUUCAAGUUAGUUCUGGAUGAUAACAUUUAAGGGCGGUGUCAGCACUUGAGGAGGGUACUUACUGCAGGUUAACAGUAACGCCCAGACUGCAAAUACCAGACUGCAAGAAAGAGCUCCCGAGCCUAAUAGAUCUGUAUUCAUAGCUGAGACACACUUAAAUAUGAACAGAUUUCAUACAUUUAUGCUAAUCAUCAUAUAGUAUUGAGUGUGUUUACUUUAGGAUCCCAGUGUAUCCCAGCAGAGGCAGGUGGAAUUAUUUUCCGGUAGAAAAGUCAAUCGAAAGGUUGAAGACAUUAAGCAUUUUGGACAAUGCCUAUCAGGUCACCCUUUGUAUUGUGAUAACGUCUUCGGUUUGUACUAUAACAGACCAUUGCUUGCCGAAACUCCUUAUCAGUCGAAAAAGUGGAUUUUCGGAUAACUUUGAAUUUUACAUGUAAUUUCUUAAUCUUCUUCACAACUAAUUUUGAUUUCCACACAGCUGCGGUCUGCUUUGACUCUGAACGUAAGAAUGGAUAGAAUGGCUGGUACAUACCUAGACCCGAUGACAGCUUUUUUUAGUUGGAUAGAAUUAUUACAGAGCAUUUGCUUGAAAAUUUAGAAAAGUUAAAGAGCCUUACACUGCAAAAAGCUCCGGUCGACUUCUACCUGUUCACAAAGUUAAACCCCACCAAGGGCACCAAGAUCACAGCCACCAGCAAGUCUAUUAAAAAAUCCAAUUUCGAUACCUAAAACCCUACAAGAUUUAUUAUCCACUGCUGGCUCCAGAGCAGAUCAUCGGACAUGAACAAAAACAUUCGUGAUGCCUGGCUGAGCAAUUGUGACUACAACGUCAUCGUCGUAGACUGGGCUAGUGCACGAUCCCCGGUUAUGCUACCCCUGUUGUGGCUGUACAUAUCGUAGGCAAGAAGGCCAACAUGAUCAACUACAGCACCGUUCGCAUGAGCGCUGAUAGCAAUGCCGACAAGGUCGAGGGUGUCUUCUAUGUGCCGGUGAACAGCGAAUCUCCCCACGGCAAUGCCAACUAUGUAGUAAUGUGACGCAAUCAAUCAAAUAAUUAGACUAGGUAAUCUAGUUGGGUUUACGACGCUAAUCAUAUAACUGAACGAUACACCUUGAGGCUAUAAUCCAUACUAUAGUGUGGUAUAUACAUACAUAUAUACUUAUACGGUAACCGGUACUGCUAUCAACAUAGUAAUUCAAGCAAUUCCAUUAGAAGCAAACAAUAUAUGGACUUGUCGUUUCCCACGCAGUGCAUAAAUCAUACGACAUUGAUGUAGGCCUCCACCGAUAAAGAUUUAUGAUCAGUGAUAAUUAUUAAUUAUACUUGUGGUUCACUAAAUGACUUCUAAUUGUAUGCCCAUUGCUCCUCAUUUUUCGAGGUGACCAUAUGUGCCUCCUAAAAGUAUGCAACAUGUGUGUGUAUGUUAUUCUAAUAUUGGAUUUUGUGUACUAUUUUUGCAUGUCAUUUAAUUCAUCUACUCUGCCAAUUAGCACGAACAGGAUAAUCAGCCAUGGAAAAAUCAUUAGCAAUAAUACGAGUACAACUCAGAGAGGUAAACACAAAAAGUGAGCAGUAAAGAAGGGGGCAGUGGGUGGCUGGGGCGGAAGUCUCUAAACAAAUUGAGUCACAGUUAAUAGGCUUUUGUUGGGUCAACCGUUCAUUGUUUACAUUACUCGUUUACACUCAGCAAAUUUGCUUCAAGCCACAGACAUAGACCAUAGCUGGCCGAAACUUCUUAUCAGUCGAAAUACCUCACAAUAUAAAACCCUUUUAGCUCUUAGCUUUCUGUUCCACGUACAUGGAAUUCCGCCAACUCUUUAACAAAUGCUAUUAAUUCAUACACAGCUUCGGCUGGCAGCUUAUGUUGGAUAGAUAAACAUGCGGCAGAACGUUGGCUUCGACGAAUUGAAAACGUACUGUUCAAUGACCAAAGUUCCUAUCGAAUUCUACCUGUUCACCAAGUCCAACCCCACCAAGGGUACCAAGAUCACAGCUACGAGCAAUUCAAUCGCCUCAUCCAACUUCAGUGCCUAUGAUCCAACGAGGAUUUAUUAUUCACGGCUAGACCCAGAGUAGCUCAUCGGACUUGCAGAAGAACGAUCGGGACGCCUGGCUGAGCAAUGGUGACUACAACGGCAUCGUUGUGGACUGGGCUAAUGCAUGUUCCAUGGACUAUAUUUCCUCCGUUGUGGCUAUACCCGGCGUAAGCCAGAAGGUCGCCAACAUGGUCAACUACCUUGACUUCCAUCAUGACUUGAGUCUCGACUACCCCAAGAAAAACUUUGGAACCAUGAAGUGCGAUAGCUAUAUGGCAGCCGUCAAUAAGAAGUGUGGCAACACCUACAGCACUAUUCGAAUGGGUGAUGAAGGCAAUGCCGACAGGGUCAAGGGUGCCUUUUAUGUGCCGGUGAACAGCAAUGCUCCCCACGGCAAUAUCAACUAAAUAAGAAUAAUAAUGUGACGCAAUCAAAAAAGUUACCGAAAACAAUCGAAUUCCGCUUUGCUUAAGGAAGCAUUUUUUGUGUAAGUAACUAAUCUUUGGGUUCACGACGCUAAUCAUAUAACUCGAAAAUACACAUUGAGUUUCUAAUCCAUACUAAGCCGUACACUAUAUGGCAAGCGAUACGUCUAUCAAUUUAGUAAUUGCUCAUGGAUCUAGCACUUCCCUUGCAAAUUUAAUCGAGUUUCAAGUGCUUUUAAGCCAAUAUAGAAGGAUGGUGUAGUA